This 504-nucleotide ribosomal RNA is filed under the name uncultured bacterium. RNAcentral's name for it is "partial 16S ribosomal RNA". It matches the Rfam family "Bacterial small subunit ribosomal RNA", at positions 30 to 523 of the family's 1533-position model. The record is from RNAcentral.
AUUGAACGCUGGCGGAAUGCUUUACACAUGCAAGUCGAACGGCAGCAUAGAGAGCUUGCUCUCUGAUGGCGAGUGGCGAACGGGUGAGUAAUAUAUCGGAACGUACCCAGUAGUGGGGGAUAACGAAUCGAAAGAUUCGCUAAUACCACAUACGCCCUACGGGGGAAAGCGGGGGAUCGUAAGACCACGCGGUAUUGGAGCGGCCGAUAUCUGAUUAGCUAGUUGGUGAGGUAAAGGCUCACCAAGGCGACGAUCAGUAGCGGGUCCGAGAGGACGACCAGCCAAACUGGAACUGAGACACGGUCCAGACUCCUACGGGAGGCAGCAGUGGGGAAUUUUGGACAAUGGGGGCAACCCUGAUCCAGCCAUUCCGCGUGAGUGAAGAAGGCCUUCGGGUUGUAAAGCUCUUUCGCAAGGGAAGAAAACUUAUCUACUAAUACUAGGUGAGGCUGACGGUACCUUGAUAAGAAGCACCGGCUAACUACGUGCCAGCCGCCGCCGUAA